This 253-nucleotide ribosomal RNA is filed under the name uncultured bacterium. Its description in RNAcentral is "partial 16S ribosomal RNA". It matches the Rfam family "Bacterial small subunit ribosomal RNA", at positions 524 to 776 of the family's 1533-position model. The record is from RNAcentral.
GACAGAGGGGGCAAGCGUUGCUCGGAAUUACUGGGCGUAAAGGGCGCGUAGGCGGCCUUCUAAGUCGAACGUGAAAUCCCCGGGCUCAACCCGGGAACUGCGUCCGAGACUGAAAGGCUCGAAUCCGGGAGAGGGAUGUGGAAUUCCAGGUGUAGCGGUGAAAUGCGUAGAUAUCUGGAGGAACAUCGGUGGCGAAGGCGGCAUCCUGGACCGGUAUUGACGCUGAGGCGCGAAAGCCAGGGGAGCAAACGGG